GCUUAUCACCAUUCCAGAUUGAAUAUACCCGAUCUCGUCUGGUCUCGGAAGUCAAGCAAUCUCGGGCUUGGUUAGUACUUGGAUGGGUGACCGCUUGGGAAUACCAAGUGUGAUAACCA
This is a non-coding RNA of Ciona savignyi (Pacific transparent sea squirt), 119 nucleotides long. The record is from Rfam. Lineage: Eukaryota; Metazoa; Chordata; Ascidiacea; Phlebobranchia; Cionidae.